Cololabis saira (Pacific saury) is the source of this 2291-nucleotide long non-coding RNA. RefSeq lists it as uncharacterized. Lineage: Eukaryota; Metazoa; Chordata; Actinopteri; Beloniformes; Belonidae. The transcript is spliced from 3 exons. The record is from RefSeq and is a predicted model, not a curated record.
UCAUGGUUAGGUUGUUUUAGGACCCAAGUGCAGGAGACAGAGGGAGGCUGGAGGCAGUAGUUCUCAAAAACAAGGGGUUUAUUCCAAAAAGGCAAAACAAGGCGCUGCAAAGCAGGAUGAACAAAAAACCAGGAUCAAGAAAAAGGUACGAGGAGACAUGGAGGAAGACACAGUACGGACCGACAGGGAACCAAGGAAUGACAAGACGAGAUAUACUGAAGGGAUAACGAGACAAGACGAGACACAGGUGCGGACACAAUCAGGGCCGAUGGGACACAGGCGGGGCAAGACAGAACUGAAAGUUACAAACACUGGGGGGGAAGUGUCAAACCCUGACAAACACCUGUUCUCAUUUGCAGUUUGAUUGACUACUAGACAGUUGUUUCUCUCAUCUACUGGAAAGAUGCCCCCUCCCCCCAUAUAGUCAAAAUGUAAUGCAUAUUCUCUCAUCAUGUAAUACAAGUUUUAAGUUUGAUGCAGGGUACUGUACAUGUUAGAAUAAGAAAUGCUGAAAAAACAUCAGUUCACCCUGACAUUUUCUUAUUUACAUGUCAAAAAACAUAAUCUGGCCAAAACUACUCUGACCAACACGUAAAGGACCCGACAACGUCCUUGGACUGGAUUUGCGAUUAAAGUCACUGACUAAAAUGUCAGAAUCAGAGAUUGAGGACUUGAUGGCAGAGCUCUUCAGACGAUACGGAUUUUCAAAACCUAUAUCCAUAAAAGUUUGUUCUGUUCAACCAUAACACCAGUGGAAGAAAGUCAAGAUCCAAGUGGAGUGGAAUAAAUCUGCAAAGCAUACUGUAUGUUUUUAUUUUUAAAGAUGUUUAGUCUUUUCUCGUGAAGUCUUUAUUUCCUGGAAAAGAAUCAAAUUAUUUGGGGAAUGUGUAUGUAUUCUUUAUGCCGGAGUUGUUACAACCAGAUUUGAGGGAAAUUAGUUCCACGACCAAAAUAUGAGUGUUUGAUUCCCCCUGAAGUCAUCUUUGACUUUCAGGAAAAAGGGUAGUGUGGAAAUGAGAACUGGUUGUGUUUAAGCAAAGUAAGCAUUUACAUAAAGGUUUUCUCACUAAUCUGUUCCUCAGAGGCACAAAACGAUGAUGUAAAGCCGUGAUUCCCAACCCCCGGUCCCCGGACCGGUACCGGUCCGUAGAGCCGUUACUACCGGGCCGUGGAAUGGCUUGUGUUCCGAUCAUAAUUAGGGCUGCAACGACGUUGUCGACAAAAAGCGAUAAUCAAAAUUGUCGGCAAUUGUCACCAGACGGUUUUUUCCCAAUGGAGUGAGGCAUCUCACUUCACUUCACCUCAUACAAUCUCUGCCCAGAGCGGCGUGUCAGCGCAGUUUUUUUUUUUUUUUUUCUUUUUUGCGUCUCCCCGCACCAGACGACUGCGCUCACUGAUCAAUGCUGCAGAUGCUGAUCAAUGAUGAGCAGGGGUCCGUCUGUUAACCCUGAAAUGAGGGAAACUGAGUUUUCCGUUUCACAAAGGGAGGUAACUCAAACCAGAGAAAGAGAGGUAACUCUAGCCUGUUUCACAAAGAGAGGUAACUUAAGCUCUCGGUCAGUUACCGUAGUAAUAGACUCUCUGAACCUAACCUGGACCAGGUUUAUAUGAAUGAACCUGGAGUUUCUCUGCGUCUCCGCCUCUUUCAGAGCCGCACGCACAUUUGAUUUCCUCAUUCAUUCAGUCAGCAGGCGAGUUUUGGCGAAGUUCUGCCGUCUGUCAUUAAAAACGGAGUCAGUAUUUUAGAAGUCCAUUGUCACGAACAUGGCAUGUCCUUUUGAUGAAGACACAAUUGAUGAAGGUGCAGAAUUAAUGCGCAGAGAAUUAAAUAUUCGUCGGGAGAUGGACAGACCACGUAAUACAUGUAUAUUACAGUACAUAGUCUCAUUACAGGCAAAGCAAUAUGUGUUAAUCCUUUAUUUGUUAUAAUUUUGAUGAUUGAAUUGUUUAAUGAUUUCAUAAUAUAUUCAAAUUUUUUGAGAUUUUUUAUUUGGGGUUUCAUAAACUGUGAGCCAUAAUCACCAAAAUUAUAACAAAGGCUUGAAAUAUCUCACUUUGCAUGUAGUGGGAAAUAAUAUUUGUUUCACCUUAAGUUGAAUUUACUACGAAUGAAGUUUUGCAAUAUAUUCAAAUUUUCCGACCUCCACCUGUAUAUUAUUACAUGAAUAAAUAAGAGCAUAAUACAGGGGUCUCCAACUCCGGUCCUGGAAAGACCUAUCCAGCAUGUUUUAGGUGUCUCCCUGCAUGAAUGACAGCAGCAAAGUUGAAUAAAAUAUCUAUUUUUCAUUGAA